CCCCUUGUAUCAGCUCAACCACAUGCGAACAGUGCAGGUUUAUGACAGUAACCAAAUGAGACUUACACCCUAACCCUGAGCCACAGUCCUUCAUUCCUCUGCUCUAAAUCCUUUAAUCCUCACUGGAGGUACAUCCUGUUGAACGCUGCUCCCGGGUCGUCCUGCAGAGGACCACUGCCACAGAACCCAUGAGCACAAAAAACAGCAGCUGUCUGUCAACACCAGAACCAAACCACAUCCACUGGGACGAGGUCAAAGGUCACGGAGAGACUUGGGCUUGUGUGCGAAAAAAAGAAGAAGACAUAGGCCAGCUGAAGACACAGAGGGGGAAAUGACAUGCAGCAACAGGGUGGAGGUUGGAGUCAAAUUCGCGGCCUCUGCAUCGAGGAGUAGCCCUCUGUAUAUGGGCAUGCGCUCGACCAGGUG
This is a long non-coding RNA of Etheostoma spectabile (orangethroat darter), 426 nucleotides long. RefSeq lists it as uncharacterized. The record is from RefSeq and is a predicted model, not a curated record. The transcript is spliced from 3 exons. Lineage: Eukaryota; Metazoa; Chordata; Actinopteri; Perciformes; Percidae.